RNAcentral lists this ribosomal RNA (730 nucleotides) under uncultured bacterium. RNAcentral's name for it is "bacterial SSU rRNA". It matches the Rfam family "Bacterial small subunit ribosomal RNA", at positions 51 to 777 of the family's 1533-position model. The record is from RNAcentral.
ACACAUGCAGUCGAGCGGGGAAGGUAGCUUGCUACCUGACCUAGCGGCGGACGGGUGAGUAAUGCUUAGGAAUCUGCCUAUUAGUGGGGGACAACAUCUCGAAAGGGAUGCUAAUACCGCAUACGUCCUACGGGAGAAAGCAGGGGACCUUCGGGCCUUGCGCUAAUAGAUGAGCCUAAGUCGGAUUAGCUAGUUGGUGGGGUAAAGGCCUACCAAGGCGACGAUCUGUAGCGGGUCUGAGAGGAUGAUCCGCCACACUGGGACUGAGACACGGCCCAGACUCCUACGGGAGGCAGCAGUGGGGAAUAUUGGACAAUGGGGGGAACCCUGAUCCAGCCAUGCCGCGUGUGUGAAGAAGGCCUUUUGGUUGUAAAGCACUUUAAGCGAGGAGGAGGCUACCGAGAUUAAUACUCUUGGACAGUGGACGUUACUCGCAGAAUAAGCACCGGCUAACUCUGUGCCAGCAGCCGCGGUAAUACAGAGGGUGCAAGCGUUAAUCGGAUUUACUGGGCGUAAAGCGCGCGUAGGUGGCCAAUUAAGUCAAAUGUGAAAUCCCCGAGCUUAACUUGGGAAUUGCAUUCGAUACUGGUUGGCUAGAGUAUGGGAGAGGAUGGUAGAAUUCCAGGUGUAGCGGUGAAAUGCGUAGAGAUCUGGAGGAAUACCGAUGGCGAAUGCAGCCAUCUGGCCUAAUACUGACACUGAGGUGCGAAAGCAUGGGGAGCAAACAGGA